This 457-nucleotide ribosomal RNA is filed under the name uncultured Acetobacter sp. RNAcentral's name for it is "bacterial SSU rRNA". It matches the Rfam family "Bacterial small subunit ribosomal RNA", at positions 138 to 624 of the family's 1533-position model. Lineage: Bacteria; Pseudomonadati; Pseudomonadota; Alphaproteobacteria; Acetobacterales; Acetobacteraceae. The record is from RNAcentral.
GGGGGAUAACUCCGGGAAACUGGAGCUAAUACCGCAUGAUAACUGAGGUUCAAAGGUCGCAAGACCGCCUUGAGAGGGGCCUGCGUUCGAUUAGUUAGUUGGUGGGGUAAUGGCCUACCAAGACGAUGAUCGAUAGCUGGUUUGAGAGGAUGAUCAGCCACACUGGGACUGAGACACGGCCCAGACUCCUACGGGAGGCAGCAGUGGGGAAUAUUGGACAAUGGGCGGAAGCCUGAUCCAGCCAUGCCGCGUGAGUGAAGAAGGCCUUAGGGUUGUAAAGCUCUUUCACCGGUGAAGAUAAUGACGGUAACCGGAGAAGAAGCCCCGGCUAACUUCGUGCCAGCAGCCGCGGUAAUACGAAGGGGGCGAGCGUUGCUCGGAAUAACUGGGCGUAAAGGGCGCGUAGGCGGCCGAUAGCUGUCAGAUGUGAAAUUUUUGGGCUCAACCCGAANACUGC